RNAcentral lists this ribosomal RNA (254 nucleotides) under uncultured bacterium. RNAcentral describes it as "partial 16S ribosomal RNA". It matches the Rfam family "Bacterial small subunit ribosomal RNA", at positions 524 to 776 of the family's 1533-position model. The record is from RNAcentral.
UACGAAGGGGGCUAGCGUUGCUCGGAAUUACUGGGCGUAAAAGCGCACGUAGGCGGAUCUUUAAGUCAGGGGUGAAAUCCUGGAGCUCAACUCCAGAACUGCCUUUGAUACUGAGGACCUUGAGUUCGGGAGAGGUGAGUGGAACUGCGAGUGUAGAGGUGAAAUUCGUAGAUAUUCGCAGGAACACCAGUGGCGAAGGCGGCUUACUGGUCCAUAACUGACGCUGAGGUGCGAAAGCGUGGGGAGCAAACAGG